GACGAACGCUGGCGGCGUGCUUAACACAUGCAAGUCGAGCGGUAAGGCCCCUUCGGGGGUACACGAGCGGCGAACGGGUGAGUAACACGUGAGCAAUCUGCCCUUCACACGGGGAUAACUUCGGGAAACCGGAGCUAAUACCCGAUACGACCACCUCGGGCAUCCGAUGGUGGUGGAAAGCUCGGGCGGUGAAGGCUGCGCUCGCGGCCUAUCAGCUUGUUGGUGGGGUAACGGCCCACCAAGGCAACGACGGGUAGCCGGCCUGGGAGGGUGAGCGGCGAGACUGGGACCGAGGCACGGCCAAGAGGGGUACGGGAGGCAGGAGUGGGGAAUAUUGGACAAUGGGAGAAAGCCUGUGCCAGCAACGCGGCGUGAGGGAGGACGGCCUUCGGGUUGUAAACCUCUUUCAGCAGGGACGAGGCGCAAGUGACGGUACCUGCAGAGGAAGCACCGGCCAACUACGUGCCAGCCGCCGCGGUAA
Molecule: ribosomal RNA, 481 nt
Filed under: uncultured bacterium
Lineage: Bacteria
Description: partial 16S ribosomal RNA
Rfam family: Bacterial small subunit ribosomal RNA
Source: RNAcentral